AAUUUGAGGAUAGAGCAAAAGAUGUUUACAUGUCAAUAACAGUAAUUUACACAUAUAAGGACAUACAAAAAGUUAUCCAGAUGUUAUGUCCAGGUUCAAACAUUGAUUUUUCAUCUUUUCAACAUUUUCUAGGUAGUUGGCCGUACUGGUGUUGUCGUUAAAGUAAAAGAAGGCCGACAUUCAGGCCUUCUUUUACUUCAGGGGUCCCAACCAAUAAAGAUGUAUACUUAACUAACCUAACCCUAAAAUCUAAACCUAACCAAAAACAUCACCUUACCUUACCAUAACCAUGAAUGAACCUUAACCAGGUUGGGAACAAACCCUCUUUAUGGUGAUUAUACCUGUUUAGAGGGAUAAUCCUUCUAUAGAAUAGAGGGGUAAAAUUAUCCCUCUAUAGAGGGGUAUUUUUGUCUAGACUGGAUUUAAAUAAAAAUAGGGCAACAUUCUCUACUUAUGGCAGUAACCUGGAACAGUUGAUGCACCAAUUGAUGUACUUAAUUUAAUAUGCACAUGCCCAGUUUGAUGCUUAGGCCAACUAAAAUUAAUUAGUAGAUUUUCCUCGGGGGGGGGGGGGGGGGGCACUUGCUAUAUAAUUAGUGGUAGGGAUGAGCCGUGAAUAGUCACUUUUUCAUCUCUAUAAUAUAUGAAAAAGGGAGAAAAUUCAGAUUAAAAUAUAUCAAUAGGUUGCUAUUUAUAACUUGCUUGAUUAUAUCAUAGAUCUGAAACUAAUCAGAUGUCCGUAUUUAUUCUUGAUCGGUUAAACCACAGUCGUAAAUGCAUCAGUUAUUGUCAACCAAUUAUACGUAUUGAUUCUGAUGUGUAUUUCCACUGAUGCCAGUGAUAGAUGCAAUAAAUCCAACUAUUUUGACAUUUGCACCAAUUAGCAUUCAAAGGGUUUAUACAUAAAGCAUUGAUAAACAAUAUUUAAAGAAAUUCCAUUGUGACAGCGUCCUUUAAGAGGGAACGGCAAUGAAACUUUUUAUCAGUUUUUAAAUAAUAUUUAAACACGUUAAAAUCAGUGAAGGUGUUACACUCUGGGUGAUAUUACAUUUAUCUGACCACAGAUGUAAUACCACUAUGAUCUGACAAACGUCUUUUAUAUGUAUUGUAUUUGGAAUUGAAAUAUCUUUCAUAAUGAAAGAUGUAAAAUGGGCAAUAAGAAAAAGUGUUUAAGAUGUGACGAAUUUAUUGGAAAAGAAGGUGAAUUAUUGCGACUAUUUUGCUUCUUAACAAGUGAUGAGGCGGGAAAAUAUUGAAAUAUAUCUAUAGGUCUGUUUUUUGGUUAAUUAAUAUAUGACAAGGUAUAUAUUUUGAUUAACAAAAUAUAUGAAAGGGUGGGGUACUUGAUGUCUCAGCUGCUCACCCCUACCAAAAAGUUUGAAGUGGCCCCCCCGAGAGAUUUCAUCCAAAUUUUUUUUUAAAUGGGGCGGUGGAAGAGUUAUUUUUUAAAUUUUAUUUCAUAUGAAACCUUCUUGUCACGUGUUAUUCAUAUAUGCAAGUGUAAUAAUAAGCUUAUAUCAUGUAAAUACAUGCAUAAGGUAUUUUGUAUGAUUUUCAAAUGCUUAAUAUAAAAAAGAAGAUGUGGUAUGAUUGCCAAUGAGACAACUGUCCACAAAGAAACCAAAAAAAUGACACAUACAUUAACAACUAUAGGUCACUGUACGUCCUUCAACAAUGAGCAAAGCCCAUACCGCAUAGUCAGCUUUAAAAGGCCCCGAUAUGACAAUGUAAAACAAUUCAAAAGAGAAAACGAACGGUCUCAUUUAUGAUCCCGAUAACAAAAAGACACUAGGAACAGAUCUGAGAGUACUCGCAGUUAUCUGACAGCUAGUUCAAAGCCACUAACAACUAAUAAAAAAAAUCAUGCAAACACUUAACUAACAAUCCGUACACAUCCAACAUCAAAAUACUUUAAAUACAUAUCUCUGAUUGGCCACCACUGUUCUUCAUGUAAUUGCGGCUUUAGAAACCUAUUUUAUAGUAAACAGCAGAAACAUGGAGAAAUGCUCUCUUCAGUUGGACUACCUACACCAACUUUAUUUUGCUUUCUAAGCAAUCGUUUGUUGUCCUAAUAAAUGAAGCAAAUGCAUUGGUAUGCAACAAAAGUAUUAUAAGUACAGAAUAAAAUGAAAACUCAAACAGUGUUGAAAAAUAAGAUUGGUCCUUUUUAAAUAUGCAAGAUGCGAAUAUAAUUACAAUGUAGAAGUUUGGAGUACUAGUAGAACACAAAGUUGUUUAAUGACUAUUGUGGGUAUUGGGACAGAUGAUGUUUGCUGUUUGUCUACAAAAAUCGGAAGGCAUGGCUAAAUCUAAAUCUAAAAGCUUGCAAUGAAUUGAUAAAUUAAAAAUGUGUAUGUUUGUCGACUUUCUGAACUCAAUAUACGGUCACCAAUCUAACAAGUUCAUGUUUGUGUUAAUUCCUUUAUUCCAGUCAUGAUUUUUUGUACCAAUGUGUUCCACGAUUCUUACGCUUUUGGGUUUCAUUCACAGUCCAAAUUUUUGACACAAAGUUAUUGUAUAAAUAUAAUAAAAUCCAAGGUGUUCUAUUAAAUCACAAACAUUUGUGACAUACGGCGAUUUGCGUUCUUGGACACAACGUAUUACUCGUAACCCGAAUAUUUCAUGCCUUUCUCGUAAUCAAUCUCUAUUCUCAGGUAAAUGAUGUUGUCAUCAUAGAUCAGCAGAAUAUAUCGACUUAAUAAUUUAGUAAGAAUACUCUAAGAAAUACGAAAACCGAAAUUGUGAAACAGGAAGUUUGAUUGAAAUGAAAUGAUCGACGGUUAAACGGGAAAAAUCGGGGCGGUAAGAUUUCAGAGGGGCGGGCGGGGAUGAAAAUCUAUCAAUUAAUUUUAAUUGGCCUUAUCUGACAAAUAUAAAAUCUAUUGUUCACCAUGAUUGAAAGCUAUGGAUGACAGGUAAAUUCUACUCACUAUGCCUCACUGAACAGAAUUUCUAUUGUUAGAUUUAACAUGAAAUUUAAAGGUCAACUAUUCCUUUUGUUCUUGAUCAGGUGUUCAGAUAUGUUUACAAUAGAUUGCAAGAUUUGUCCAUGUUGUCACUUUAGCAGAAAACUGGUUAUCCCAAUUUUUAGUAAAGUGCAUAUGUUGAUGCAUAUAAUGCUAGAGAUUAUAGCCAAUAUAACUAGAAAAUGCCAUUCUGCCCUAAUUUGCUUUAAAUCAAGUGCAAACAAAAAUACCCCUCUAUAGAGGGAUAAUUUUAUCCCUCUACAGAGGUAUAAUCACCAUACAGGGGGUCUGUUCCCAACCUGUUAACUCUAAAGUAUAGGGAUAUCCGGUCGUUCUGGCCCCAAACCGAUCCGGCCCCAGGUCAAUCCGGCCCAAAGUCGAUCCGGCCCAAGUCGAUCUGGCCCACGUCGAUCUGUCCCCAAGUUGAUCCGGCCUCAUAAUAAAAUAUGAAUAAACUAUAUUCACUAUAUGGAGGAAUUUGUGACAAAUUUGAACAGUAAAAACUUUGAAAGUCAUGGCGAUUUUUAUUUUAGUUACUUCUCACACAGAGUAGCUAAAUAAAUAUUUACAGUAAUAAAAAUUGACGUGAGCAGAAGAUUAUAAAAUUUUGAAAUGUUCGUUACUUGCUUCUGUUUAUUAAAGUUUACAUGUUGUUUCAUUGAAUUGUCUAUAAUAUACUCUCAUUACUAUCAAAUUUUAACUUUUAGUAGUUAUAUUUCAUUCUGAAAUUGACAAGAAAAUGUGUUUCUGUAUUUUGUCACUACAGUAACGUACAUUUCGUUUUGGUCGAAACACCAGGAAGUCCUUAAUUUUAGAUAUAUAUCAAGUUUCUAUUAUAAUGUUGCACUUUAUCAUCGUUUUUCCAACAUUUCUCAACACUCUCUCCUUCAGAAUACAAAAAAGAUUUUAUUUAAUUUUUUAACCAUUUUUAGAAAAUGUUCGUUACUUUCAUAAGCCUGCGGAAAAUAUAUGGGUUUUACUAAACACCGACUUUUUUGAACUGAUUAACUUUCAUAUUUUGUAUACUAUGUCAAUUUGCAGGAUGUCAUAUAACUUUGUCAUCACAAAAUAUCCAGAUUAUUGACAUAUUCCGGAAUUAAACGCAACCUUUUAAAUAAUUUUGCCAGGAGUUUUACUCUGUCAAAAGAUAUGCAAUUUUGAAUUAGUGAGAAAAGAGUGAAAAAGUACAACAGUAGGUAAUUGUUGAAACGGGAAAGUCAUUUACGGCAUAUGUUAAGCGAUCACACCCAUUAUUCAAACGAGGAUAUUCGUAAAAUAAAAACACUUGAAUAUCUAUUGGAGUACCUGCAGCGUAACGGACAUUUUAAACUAGUUUUAGAACAGUAUUUUAGCCUGUAGUUGGCGAAUCGUGAAACGAAAACCCUUUGUUAUUUGUUCAAAUGCUUUUAUAUCGAGCAAGACAACAUAUCAAGGAAACAAAAUCAGCAUGAAUUGUUGGGUUUGUUUUCCUUCAAAUUUUCGAUAUUGAAAUAUCGCAAAUGCACCCCCUUAUUGAAAAUGCGUGUAAAUGCACAUUUUCACUCUCUAAAAUAUAAUAUCAUCUACUAUUAAUAUAACAAUAAAUUCAUACACACUAUCAAACACACUAUCUCUGACACUCACAUACUUAUAUAUAACUUUUAAAUCAUUUACACUGUCACUUUCUUAAAGGGGUCACACUUGCAGCACUACAAUAUCAUAUACAGCAACUGUCAUACGCCGUACAUAUAUAAUAUUUGCUCAUCAAGAAAAAAUGCACUAUAUGAUCAUUCUAAACAUAUAUAUAAUAUUUGCUCAUCAAGAACAAAAGAAGGAUUCGGCAAAUCAAACAACAUUUCUCAAAUUGAGAAAUUUUAAGAACUUAAAACAAAAACAAAGUUUGUAUGUAUCAGCUUGGGGAUCGGCUUGUACCGUUGUGUAUAUAUGUAACUAUUUGUUAUUACACAAGAUGAAAGACUUGUUAGAAUCACAGUUGCUGAUUAAUAUUGAUGUCUGAUUUCUUAAAUAUAUAUGUUUUAAUAUGUACCCAAUAAUCUUGAAAACUUGUAAUAAAAACAUCAUAUUCAACCUAGUUGUUUUAUACUCAUUUAAGAAAGUAUUUUUCAAAGGCCUUUUUUAUUUUUUUUCCCGUAUACCUUUUACAUAAUAAAAAUCAUAAACAUUUAUGAAUUACAAUUAAUAUAUAUCUUUAUUUUUAUUCCUCAGUUGUAAAUAUAUUUUUUAUUGGGGCCGGAUCGACAUUACAUAUGGGCCGGAUUGACGUGGGGCCGGAUUGAUGUGGGCCGGAUCGACUUGGGCCGGAUCGAUGUGGGGCCGGAUCAACCCGAAAGCAGUAUAGGGACCCUUAAAGUAAAAGAAGGCCGACAUGGCUGCGAUGUUUAAGCCCACAGCUCUUAUUUCUUAUCUUUCCAUUCAUUGGUGAUGGGGGUUAGGACCUUUAUUGGGACUCCUGGAUUGGGUGUUUUUAAGCUCUUGAUUUUGGCAUUGACCCGUUUGGGAUGUCUGGAUUUAAAUUUAUUUAAAUUCGGGACUUCAGGAUUUUGUGUUUUUAAGCCAAGGAUUUCGGGAUCAGGACCCCUCCUACCCCCCUCUAUUUGUCCGUUGUGAGGUCGACUAUCCAUAUAUGAUAUUGGAAUUUGACUUUAAUAUAUGAACAGUCGACCUCCUGAUGGAUAGAUAAACAAUGCCUUUGGUAAAGGCAGCCACUACCGUGAAUGUCAAAGAAAAAAAAAAAAAAAGCAAUGUACAGGUUGAGAACUAUUCACACACACUUGUUUCUGUCAAUGUGGGGUAAACUAUCCACACCCGUACGAAAAAUCACUUACAAUCACUUUGAUUAUUAUUUAUUUGUAUCUCAAUUUCUGAUUAAAGUUAUAAUAUAUUUACAGUGAUCAGAAUUUCCUUAAAAUACUAUUCAAAUAUAUUAUAAUGCUUUUAACAUGUAUAAUGUAUUUGAUAAUUUCAGACUAUAUUCCAUAGGAUGGAUAUCAUAAAGCAAUUGUUCACCCAUACCUGGACAUUAGAGGAAUGGUUAACACUGGUAGACAUUUCUAAUAACUUAUUUCAAGAUACAGAUUCCCUACAGUAAGAUCCUAUAUAAAUAUGUUUGUUGUGUUGUUACAAUUGAUGAAACUGUUGUGUGUUGUGUUUGUCCUGUUUUGUUACAGUUGAUGAAACUGUUGUGUGUUGUGUUUGUCCUGUUUUGUUACAGUUGAUGAUACUAUUGUGUCUGUCGUGUUUUGUUACAGUUGAUGAUACUGCUGUGUCUGUCGUGGUUUGUUACAGUUGAUGAUACUGCUGUGUCUGUCAUGGUUUGUUACAGUUGAUGAUACUGUUGUGUCUGUCGUGUUUUGUUACAGUGGAUGAUACUGUUGUGUCUGUCGUGGUUUGUUACAGUGGAUGAUACUGUUGUGUCUGUCGUGGUUUGUUACAGUGGAUGAUACUGUUGUGUCUGUCGUGGUUUGUUACAGUGGAUGAUACUGUUGUGUCUGUCGUGGUUUUUUACAGUUGAUGAUACUGCUGUGUCUGUCGUGGUUUGUUACAGUUUAUGAAUCAUGAUACUGUUGUCUUUCGUGUUUUGUUACAGUUGAUGAUACUGUUGUGUCUGUCGUGGUUUGUUACAGUUGAUGAUACUAUUGUGUCUGUCGUGUUUUGUUACAGUUUAUGAUACUGCUGUGUCUGGCGUUUUUUUACAGUUGAGAUACUGUAGUGUGUCUGUUGGUUUUGUUACAGUUGAUGAUACUGUUGUGUCUGUCGUGGUUUGUUACAGUUUAUGAAUCAUGAUACUGUUGUCUUUCGUGUUUUGUUACAGUUGAUGAUACUGUUGUGUCUGUCGUGGUUUGUUACAGUUGAUGAUACUAUUGUGUCUGUCGUGUUUUGUUACAGUCUAUGAUACUGCUGUGUCUGUCGUGGUUUUUUACAGUUGAUGAUACUGUAGUGUGUCUGUUGUGUUUUGUUACAGUUGAUGAUACUGUUGUGUCUGUCGUGGUUUGUUACAGUUGAUGAUACUAUUGUGUCUGUCGUGUUUUGUUACAGUGAUGAUACUGUUGUGUUUUCGUGGUUUGUUACAGUUGAUGAUACUAUUGUGUCUGUCGUGUUUUGUUACAGUUGAUGAUACUAUUGUCUCUCAUGUUUUGUUACAGUUGAUGAUACUGUUGUGUGUUGUGUCUGUCGUGUUUUGUUACAGUUGAUGAUACUGUGUCUCUCGUGUUUUGUUACAGUUGAUGAUACUGUUGUGUCUUUCGUGGUUUGUUACAGUUGAUGAUACUGUUGUGUCUGUCGUGGUUUGUUACAGUUGAUGAUACUAUUGUGUCUGUCGUGUUUUGUUACAGUUGAUGAUACUGUUGUCUCUCGUGUUUUGUUACAGUUGAUGAUACUGUUGUGUCUUUCGUGGUUUGUUACAGUUGAUGAUACUAUUGUGUCUGUCGUGGUUUGUUACAGUUGAUGAUACUGUUGUCUCUCGUGUUUUGUUACAGUUUAUGAUACUGUUGUGUCUUUCGUGGUUUGUUACAGUUGAUGAUACUGUAGUGUGUCUGUUGUGUUUUGUUACAGUUGAUGAUACUAUUGUGUUGUGAUGUUACAAAUAUUUCCUCUUCUUUUUAAUAUGUCUGGUAUCUUCAAAAAAGUUUCAAAAAACAUGUCAUGAAAUUUCUAGGCAAUAAUUCAAUCAUUAGACAAUAUUUCUGAAGUUGUGGACUGUAAUUUUAAGUUUUGUCAGAUCACAAACUUGGUCCCAUUGAAUACUAUUAAGUAUGUAUAUAAAUGUGCAAGAUUUCGAAAUUUUGUAGAUAAUAAGGACAUACUAAGAUAAUGUGUAUAUAUAUGGACAGGAAAUUACAAUUCUAUGAUUUUUCUAGGAGUUUAUAUACAUCUUUUAAUUAAGAAUUGCUGAUGUAAUAUACUACUAAAACAGUUUGUAAGCACAACAGAUUUUCAUGAAAAAUGUUAAUGAGAACAUGAUAUGUAGAUAUGCAUAUCCACAAGAAUUGUUUAUCAGUUGAGUUAUGAGUAAGAGUUAUGAGUCUUUCAACUUUGGAAUCUGAUGAGAUGGUGUUUGUUAAGUGACUCACAAAGUUUCUUUAGUUGAAAAACUUAAAGCUGAAUUUUUGUAUGAAAUUUAUAGUGCUCAUAAUAUUUUUUACAUUCGAAGCUUCUCUAGCACAUAAGAUUGUGUAUAUUAUGGAUAUAAUAAAUUCUUGUGUGUGACAUUUGUGAUGCCAGUAUUAUUAAGAAUGGAAAGAUAGGAUUUGCAUACCUGUCAACCUGUGACGAUGAAAAUGCAUGUCAUGACCUGCAUUGAAGAAUCAAAUCUCAGGUUAUAAUGCGUAGGAACUUUUUUGAGCUGAAUUUCAGUAUUUAUGGUACAUUUUCUUAUAAUGUAUAUCAAAGAUACCAAAACAUCAAUGCAUGUUCACUUUGUUAAGUCAUUUUAAAUCUUAUUAAAUAUUAUUUCAUUGCACUUUUAAAGAUUUUUAUAAAUUUGUGUAACUCAGUCUUAUGUGCUUUACUUUUUAAAAAAUAUACUACAAUUAUCAAAUGUGUAGGAACUUUUUUGAGCUGAAUUUCAGUAUUUAUGGUACAUUUUCUUAUAAUGUAUAUCAAAGAUACCAAAACAUCAAUGCAUGUCACUUUUAAGUCAUUUUAAAUCUUAUUAAAUAUUAUUUCAUUGCACUUUUAAGAUUUUUUAUAAAUUUGUGUAACUCAGUCUUAUGUGCUUUACUUUUUAAAAAAUAUACUACAAUUAUCAAACACCAGAAUUCAAUGUAAUUCUUAAAUAUUUGAGACUAUUGACUUGUGUAGCCUUUAACCAUAAUAUUUUCAUUUAACAAGGAAAUUAGACUAUCAUAAAAUAUAGUAAUACAGUUAAAGGAAGUAUAAAUGUAAAAAAUAAUUUUCAACUUUUUUUAAAAAUUGUAUAAAGAUAUAAAAAUAAUGAAAAGUUAUUUUUCAAUAUGUAUUUGAAUUUUAUAUUUAUGAUUUAAUCUUUUUCACCAUAAACGUAAUAUAAGGAAUAAUUUUGAAUGGUGACAAAUAAGGGGAAGUAACUCUAGUUCAGUUUGUAAACCGAUGGUGCAAUUUAUUUAAGACCUAAAGCUACUUAGGUAAUUGGUGUUAAUUAACAGUGGUUACACAAAGCUGUCAAUGAACAUGCACUUAAUGGGUCACUUAAUUUGACCGUUUACAUAGUAGAUGAUCUUCCUGUUCAUGGAAGAAUUACGAAUUUGCCGGUAUUUCAAAGAAUUACUUAUGAACAAUUCAAGCUAAGAAAUACGGGUGAAAUAGGGUCAUUUUCGGAAUUCCCGGGUCAUUUCAAUGACCCGACGGGUGUUCCGGGUGAUCCCUCAGAAUUGUGAAAAUCUCGGGUCACACUCGCAGAAUACGGGUCAGUUGACAGGUAUGGAUUUGUUCUACAUGUUCUAAGAAGCUGAUUUCAUGACUUUUGCAUAACAGUUAAAACCCAUUCGUUAUAUUAUAGGUAUAGAGAUGUUUUGAAAACUACCAUAGUAGCAGACCAGCAGGAAGAGUUGCCUACCUUUCAUUCCUUCAGUCAAGUUUCUCAACAGAGGGAGCUUUUGUUGCAUGUUAUACAGGUAUGCAAAUAAAUGUACAUCUAACAUGCAAAAGAAAUUGUCUAAAAAGAAUUAUUUAUUUACAUCUUCAAACCACAACAUAAAUUACAGUUCCGUAUACAUGCUCAAUUAUUUGAAAAAAGAAUAUUGCAUUUUAUGUUUUGAUUAGGCCUAUUCUAAAACUUGGUAUGUAAAUUUAGUUCACAUGAUAUUUAAAUUGGUAGCUUUAUCAUGAGAUCUGCAAAAUAUCAAGUAACUGGCAUAAUACAAUAAACAAUUAAACAGAUUAAAUGAUAGGUUUUAAAGAUAUUCAAAUUUAUGAUUUAUGAUAAUUUAGGGACAAAAAUUCACAUGACAAAAAUAGAAAUAAGGACUCUGUUGGUAACAAAAUAAACAAUAUUUUGAACCAGAUGACCUAAUAUACAGUUUUUCAUUUCGAACUAUACAUAUUAAUUCUACCACUGCAUUCACUGAUUGGAUAUUUCUCCAGGCAAUACAGUUAAAUUUAUAUUAUCAAAAUCUAAAACUCAAGGCUUGCCAAGCAUUUUAACUAUUUAAAAUUUGAAUGUCUCAGAGUGCAAAAGUAUUGUUUUCCAGGAAAUUCAGUGGUUAAAGCUACAGUUGUGUAUGUUUCUCAUGUUUUUUUAGGUAAACAUUAUCUUUCUUUUCCAAUCAUCUGCUUCAAAUUCAAAGAAAGCAAGAAAAUUUGAUGUCAUAAUUUGAUUUUGACCAAUGAAGAAAUAAAAAAAGAAACUUACAUCUCAUUGAUUGGUGAAAAAGUGACCACAAAAGGUCAGAGAAAGAAUAAGUCGUAUAAUAAUAUUGAAGUUUUGAAACACAAAUUCUGUUUAAAUAUUUUUUUUCAAUUACAGAAAUUAAAGAAGAGGAAUGAAAAGAAUGUAUUAAUUCUUGGAUUUUCUGCGG
RNAcentral lists this long non-coding RNA (10459 nucleotides) under Mytilus galloprovincialis (Mediterranean mussel). The record is from RNAcentral. Lineage: Eukaryota; Metazoa; Mollusca; Bivalvia; Mytilida; Mytilidae.